Molecule: small nucleolar RNA, 136 nt
Organism: Sorex araneus (European shrew)
Lineage: Eukaryota; Metazoa; Chordata; Mammalia; Eulipotyphla; Soricidae
Gene: U8
Rfam family: U8 small nucleolar RNA
About the family: U8 is a member of the C/D class of snoRNA which contain the C (UGAUGA) and D (CUGA) box motifs. U8 is the RNA component of a small complex (the U8 snoRNP) which is required for accumulation of mature large subunit ribosomal RNAs, 5.8S and 28S rRNAs.
Source: Ensembl
UUAUCAGGUAGGAUAUUUCUUACCUGUUCCUCUAUUCAGAGGGCAGGUGGAACAUGACGAUUGGAGUUCGCAUGAUUCAUGAUUAAUGUCUCUGCAUGAUUAAAGCUUGAAACACCUUAAUCACUCCUGUUUCGAA